ACCAUGCCCCACUAAGACCUUCCUUUUAGAACAAGAAGCAAUAAUUAGAAAGUGGACAGAUCUUUGGCGAUUGUGCAAACGAGUUGUUUUGGGUGAGAAAAAAAAAUGCUCAGUCCUGCCUGCCAAGAACCACUUCGGAUGACAAUCAUCUCUAUGCUCUCCAUCAAACAGAGGCUCUGGGUGCCUAUGGCAGGAGACAGAAGAGCCAGAAGUGUGACAUUAACAAUAAAAUGUGACUAACGAUAACAAGACAAAAGAAAAAAACUAUGCCUAGAUAUUUGCCUGUGAGCGAAGGUUCUUGAAGAGGCCAGAAGAGGGUGUCAGAUGACCUGGAGCUUGAUCUAUGGGCCAUUGUCAAUAGGUGCUGGGAACGGAGAGAAGAUCUUCUGCAAGAGCUGCUGAACCAUCUCUCCAAACCAUUAUUAUCAUUAUUAUUAUUAUUAUUAUUAUUAUCAUUAUCAUUAUUUCCAUUGUUUGAGACAAGGUUUCUCUGUGUCUCUCUGGCUGUCCUGGAACUUGCUUUAUACAUCAGGAUGACCUCAAACUCAGAGAUCCACCUGCCUCAGCCUACCAAGUGCUGGGAUUACCCAUUUUUUAUAAGAUGUUCCUAGUACUAUUAAAAAAUAAAAUAUCUCCAGGUGGUGAUAGCAAAUUCCUUUAGUCUCAGACUUGGAAGGCAGAGACAGAUGGAUCUCUGAGUUUAAGGCCAGCCUUUUCUACAGAAGCAAGUUCAAGGACAGUCAAGUUUGCACAGAGAAACUCUGUCUUGAAAAAAAAAAAGGAAAGAAAGAAAAGAAAAAAAAGACGGCAUGUCUUUUCUGUCUGACAUCAAAUGAGGGGCAGUGACCUUCCCACAGCUCUCCUGCAACUGGCUCCUAAU
Molecule: long non-coding RNA, 880 nt
Organism: Meriones unguiculatus (Mongolian gerbil)
Lineage: Eukaryota; Metazoa; Chordata; Mammalia; Rodentia; Muridae
Exons: 3
Source: RefSeq, a predicted model, not a curated record